CCCUAGCCCCGAUAGUAGUGGGAAUCCUUUUGCUUUUUCCUUUAAAAAGCAAAAGAUUGGAGCGGAUAGCGGGAAAUAGC
RNAcentral lists this small RNA (80 nucleotides) under Flavobacterium sp. 9. RNAcentral describes it as "Flavo-1 RNA". It matches the Rfam family "Flavo-1 RNA". Lineage: Bacteria; Pseudomonadati; Bacteroidota; Flavobacteriia; Flavobacteriales; Flavobacteriaceae. The record is from RNAcentral.